Myotis brandtii (Brandt's bat) is the source of this 228-nucleotide long non-coding RNA. RefSeq lists it as uncharacterized. Lineage: Eukaryota; Metazoa; Chordata; Mammalia; Chiroptera; Vespertilionidae. The record is from RefSeq and is a predicted model, not a curated record. The transcript is spliced from 2 exons.
AAAAUAAAAUUCUCUCCUAAUGAUGACUUGAGCCCUGCCACUCGAUGGGAGAAAUCAGCAGAACCUGUAGGAUCUUGUUCAGAAUUGACAUUUCUCUAUUGUAAUUUUGUUCCUGUUUAUUUUUAAAUUUUCUUGUUGUUUCACUGGAAAGGAAAGAUGAUGCUCAGUUUUAAACGUUAAAAGUGUACAAGUUGCUUUGUUACAAUAAAACUAAAUGUGUACACAAAG